Molecule: ribosomal RNA, 449 nt
Filed under: uncultured bacterium
Lineage: Bacteria
Description: partial 16S ribosomal RNA
Rfam family: Bacterial small subunit ribosomal RNA
Source: RNAcentral
AAUGAACGCUGGCGGCAGGCCUAACACAUGCAAGUCGGACGAGGCAGCAAUGCCUAGUGGCGGACGGGUGAGUAACGCGUGGGAACGUGCCCCUUUCUACGGAAUAGCCUCGGGAAACUGGGAGUAAUACCGUAUAAGCCCGCAAGAGGAAAGAUUUAUCGGGAAGGGAUCGGCCCGCGUUGGAUUAGGUAGUUGGGGGGGUAAUGGCCUACCAAGCCGACGAUCCAUCGCUGGUUUGAGAGGAUGAUCAGCCACACUGGGACUGAGACACGGCCCAGACUCCUACGGGAGGCAGAAGUGGGGAAUCUUAGACAAUGGGGGAAACCCUGCUCUAGCCAUGCCGCGUGAUCGAUGAAGGCCUUAGGGUUGUAAAGAUCUUUCAGUGGGGAAGAUAAUGACGGUACCCACAGAAGAAGCCCCGGCUAACUCCGUGCCAGCCGCCGCGGUAA